UACGAAGGGGUGCGCGUUGCCGUGAAUCACUGGGCGUAAAGGGUGCGUAGGCGGGUCUUUAAGUCAGAGGUGAAAUCCCUGGAGCUCAACUCCCAGAACUGCCUUUGAUACUGAGGAUCUUGAGUAUGGGAGAGGUGAGUGGAACUGCGAGUGUAGAGGUGAAAUUCGUAGAUAUUCGCAAGAACACCAGUGGCGAAGGCGCUCACUGGCCCAUUACUGACGCUGAGGCACGAAAGCGUGGGGAGCAAACAGG
RNAcentral lists this ribosomal RNA (253 nucleotides) under uncultured bacterium. RNAcentral's name for it is "partial 16S ribosomal RNA". It matches the Rfam family "Bacterial small subunit ribosomal RNA", at positions 524 to 776 of the family's 1533-position model. The record is from RNAcentral.